CUGACGAUAUUAAAUAAGCAAAUUACUAUAAUUGAACGUUUCUGAGUGUAUAAAUAAUGUCGGAGACUUUUAACAUACGUCACCGGUAAUAUUGAAACAAGUGGAAUAAUUAUUAACGACACCGCUUAUUUUGUGUGUUUCCAAUUAACUGGACUAAUCUAAUUAUAUGACACAUUGUAAUUAGCUCAUGUUAAAGUGAAUGUUUGUUUGUGCAUAAGACAGGGUGACCUACGUGUUUCAGGGUCGGUGAUCCAUGACCUUCGUUAAAUAUUUCAUUUCAUCGCAGCUUAAAUCGUUAAUUGGUUGUUCCCUAUUUUUCAGAGGAAAUGGCUUUUACUCAACAACAAAUCAAUCAUUGAACUUUCCUCACCUUUCUUCAUUUGUCAUUUCGACUUUAUAUCAAACAUUCUACUGGUGAGUAGAAAAUAUAUCUAUAUUACAUCUGUUUCACACGUAUAAACGGAGGACUGUGAUAUCUUAAGACAAUAAACUAAACCAUAAUUAACCCACAGGCAUUUGUCAGUUUUUUCAAAGAAUUUCUCAAGGAUUAAUAUGGAGAACAGUAAUCACUUGGAUACUUCUAAGACGAAACACAAAAAAAUACAUAACUGUGAUAUAUGUGACAAAUCUUUUGCUUCAAACAGUGUUUUAAGAAUUCAUACAAGAAUCCACACGGGAGAGAAACCGUUUCACUGUGACAUCUGUGGGAAAUCUUUUGUUAAUAAUUCUCAUCUUGUAGUUCACAAACGUAGUCAUACGGGAGAGAAACCCUACAAUUGUGAAAUAUGUGGAAAAUAUUUUGUCAAUAAUAGUGAUUUGACAAAACAUAAACGAAUCCACACAGGGGAGAAACCCUACCAUUGUGAAAUCUGUGGGAAAAAAUUUGUGCAUAGCAGUGUCUUGACCACACACAAGCGGAUCCAUACGGGGGAAAAACCUUGUCGUUGUGAUGUGUGCGGCAAGUCUUUCACACGAACUUCUCGUCUUGUUAUUCAUAAUCGUAUUCACACUGGAGAAAAACCUUAUCACUGUGAAAUAUGUGGCAAGUCUUUUUCCGAUAAUUCCAAUCUUGUUAUCCACAUUCGUAGUCACACCGGGGAAAAGCCGUUCCACUGUGGGACUUGUGGGAAAUCGUUUAUUACUAACAGUGAUUUAAACAGACACAAGCGAAUUCACACGGGAGAGAAACCGUUUCAUUGCGAGAUCUGCGGCAAGUCUUUUCUCUCGAACAGUGACUUAAUAAAGCAUAAACGAAUUCACACGGGAGAGAAACCGUUUCCGUGUGAAAUGUGUGGUAAAUAUUUUGUAAACAAUUCUUGUCUUGCUGUUCACAAACGGAUACAUACGGGAGAAAGAACUUACCAUUGUGAAAUAUGCGGAAAAUCUUUUGUGUCUAAUAGUGAUUUGACUAAACAUAAACGAAUCCAUACGGGAGAGAAACCCUACCAUUGUGAGAUAUGUGGGAAGUGUUUCUCUGUCAAUUCCAGUCUAAUAGUUCACAAGCGUAGUCACACUGGAGAAAGACCAUAUCAUUGUGAACUAUGUGAGAAAUCUUUUAUCACUAAUGCUCUCUUAAAAACACACCAACUGACACAUAUUGGAGGGAAACCCUUUAACUGUGAAAUGUGAAAAAAAAAACCUUUUUAUUGAAAUACAAACUCUUUAUCUGCUAACAUGUACAUCUAUCAAUGGUGUGAGUCACAACUUGUCGUUAUUACUGAAUGUCUGCUUUCCAUGCUGGUAUGGGUUGGACAGUGUGACAGGAUCUAAGUGAGCUGCAGGCAUAUGUUAUCUGCAUUGUGCUCCAUGUAAGCAUUAGGAAGGGUAGCCAGCUGUAAAAACCAUGCCAAAGCAAGCAGGGGAGCUUGGCACAGCUUAUUAGUUCAUGUCAAAAGGCCGCGAGCUGGCAGAAUCGUUAGCAUGCCGGGCGAAAUGCUUAGUGGUAUUUCGUCUGCCACCACGUUCUGAGUUCAAAUUCCGCCAAGGUCAACUUUGCCUUUCGUCCAUUUGGGGUCGAUAAAUUAAGUACCAGUUGUAUACUGGGGUUAAUCUAAUCGACUGUCUCCUCCCCUCCAAAUUUUAGGCCUUGUGCCUAUAAUAGAAAGGAUUAGUUCGUGUCAAACCAUUCAGCUGAUGCUGCUAUGGAAAAAGGGUCCUUCGAUGAUCAUUGUCAUCAUCAAAUGAGCAUCUUCCAUGCUGGCAAGGGUUGGAUAAUUUGACAAUCCAGUGAGUCCAAGGAUUGCAUCAUGCUCCAAUUUCAGCUUUGAUAUGGUUUCUACGACUGGAUGCCCUUCCUAAUGCCAACCACUUUGUAGAGUAUGUAGUGGGAACUUUUGUUUCUUUUCAUACUACCAGCGCUUGUGAGGUCGCCAAGUAACAGGAAAAGAACAAAGUGUGGCGGCGGGUGUGAGAUAGGGGUGCUUUAUGUCAGUUGUUGACAGGCUUAAUUAGGAUAGAGGGACAAGCACAGGUGUUGUGCUUUAGGGCAGAUACAUGGCUAUUCCACAUUAUACGAGGAUAGGUGAUGGUAACUGAGAAAGAGAUAAUAAUGGUGUAUGUGAGCAAACUUUCUAGGUCAAGCUCUGUGAAUUCUUGUCUACAAAUGUUCUUUUGCUCAAAAAAAAAAUCAUUUACUCCAUUCACCUCUACUACCACCACCACCUCCUUUUUAUCCAUCUGUCACUCUCCCCUCACACUUACCCACGACCCACCCACCCUUCCUGAUCCUCUGUCCCUAUCCUCUCUUUUCUACUUACCUUGCUGUACUUUAAGGGUAUGCUCUGACAUCUCAUCACCAUCUUUUUCUUUUCUCACUCACCCUUGUAUAAUGUGUGGGAUAGCCAGAUCCCCCCUCUGCAGCCAGAAACCUGAGCGCUGUCCUUCAGUGUUCAGAUUUCUUUGUCAAAUGUAAAAAAGCAAAUUUCUCACCACACAGCUGCCACCCCUGCACAUAAAUGGACAUGAAUUUCAAGAAAUAGCUUCUUUUUUUCUUUUUUCUUUGUUUUGAUUACAUGGAAAUUUAUAUUAUUUAUUCUUGAAAUUCUUAACUCCUUCCCAAAAAAAUUGCACUUCAUAUUCAAAACUUGAAACUAUAAGGAGAUACCCUGGCACUCAACUAUGAAUCCACUGCAUCCUAUAGCAGAAACAGCUAUAAGCUAGUGAAGUUCAUAAGAUAAUUUUUUUCCUUUGUCAUCUCUCUUUUGUGUUUUUGUUCCUUAAGACUUAAGGAUCGUCAU
This is an RNA transcript of Octopus sinensis (East Asian common octopus), 3236 nucleotides long. It is a transcript of the gene named zinc finger protein 2-like, with no coding region annotated. The transcript has 3 exons. The record is from RefSeq and is a predicted model, not a curated record. NCBI's taxonomy places the organism in Eukaryota, Metazoa, Mollusca, Cephalopoda, Octopoda, Octopodidae.